Molecule: unclassified non-coding RNA, 299 nt
Organism: Erinaceus europaeus (western European hedgehog)
Lineage: Eukaryota; Metazoa; Chordata; Mammalia; Eulipotyphla; Erinaceidae
Gene: 7SK
Rfam family: 7SK RNA
About the family: 7SK was discovered as an abundant small nuclear RNA in the mid-70s but a possible function has only recently been suggested. Two independent studies have found that 7SK RNA binds the CDK9/cyclin T complex (known as elongation factor P-TEFb).
Source: Ensembl
GUGUAUGAGGGUGAUCUGGCUACGACAUCUGUCACCCCAUUGAUCAUCAGAGUCAAAUCUAUCUGACUAGGUGAAUAUCCCCUUCCUCCCUCACCACUCCAUGUGUGCCUCUCCCCUAGCUACCUGCUUGGUCAAGGAGGAUGAUCUUCCCCCUUACAGAGAUAGACCUGUCUUUGGUUGAGGGUGUGCUUCCAUGCUAGAACCUCCAAACAAGCUCUCCAGAACCUAUAUCUGUGCAAUGAUGAUUUUCUUCAUUGGUAUAGAAAUAAUUCUGAUGAAGAGUUAACAUACUAUUUGAA